UUCCUUCCGAAGUUUCCCUCAGGAUAGCUGGAGCCCAUUACGAGUUCUAUCACGUAAAGCCAAUGAUUAGAGGCAUCGGGGGCGCAACGCCCUCGACCUAUUCUAGAACUUUAAGUAGAUUGGACGGUGCGGCUGCUCUGGUGAGCCGCGCCAUGGAAUCGGGAGCUCCAAGUGGGCCAUUUUGGGUAAGCAGAACUAGCGAUGAGGUAUGAACCGGAAGCCGGGUUACGGUGCCCAAUUGCACGCUAACCUAGAACCCACAAAGGGUGUUGGUUGACUAAGACAGCAGGACGUGGUCAUGGAAGUCGAAAUCCGCUAAGGAGUGUGUAACAACUCACCUGCCGAAUCACCUAGCCCUGAAAAUGGAUGGCGCUAAAGCGUGCGACCCACACCCGGCCAUCUGGGCAAGCGCCAUGCCCCGAUGUGUAGGAGGGCACGGCGGCCGCUGCAAAACCCGGGGCGUGAGCCCCGGUUGAGUUGCCGUCGAUG
RNAcentral lists this ribosomal RNA (489 nucleotides) under Brachypodium distachyon (stiff brome). Its description in RNAcentral is "rRNA LSU_rRNA_eukarya". It matches the Rfam family "Eukaryotic large subunit ribosomal RNA", at positions 955 to 1444 of the family's 3401-position model. The record is from RNAcentral. Lineage: Eukaryota; Viridiplantae; Streptophyta; Magnoliopsida; Poales; Poaceae.